GAGGGUGUAGCUCAAGUGGUAGAGUGCAUGCUUAGUAUGCACGAGGUCCUGGGUUCAAUUCCCUGCACCUCCU
RNAcentral lists this transfer RNA (73 nucleotides) under Camelus bactrianus (Bactrian camel). It matches the Rfam family "tRNA". From Rfam's summary of the family: Transfer RNA (tRNA) molecules are approximately 80 nucleotides in length. Their secondary structure includes four short double-helical elements and three loops (D, anti-codon, and T loops). Lineage: Eukaryota; Metazoa; Chordata; Mammalia; Artiodactyla; Camelidae. The record is from Rfam by way of RNAcentral. RNAcentral also lists the same sequence under 2 other names.